Molecule: long non-coding RNA, 229 nt
Filed under: Elaeis guineensis (African oil palm)
Lineage: Eukaryota; Viridiplantae; Streptophyta; Magnoliopsida; Arecales; Arecaceae
Description: long non-coding RNA (EGUI_LNC078494)
Source: RNAcentral
UCGAAGUAUUUUCAGUAGGGUCAAUGAUUCCCUCCUACUGAGAUGUGCUGCUAUUCAAAUAGGGAGUGUUAUCACCAAGUGGAUUUGAUGUUCCUCCUAUCGCUCCUUGAGUAUUCUUCAUUCAUCAUGGAGCCAUAUUGACCUAUGAUAAAUUUGAGAUGAUAACUUAUUCUUAAUAAAGUUAUAAACUUACUUAAGAUAGGUCAGAUCAUAAUCAUCAUAACUAACC